This 398-nucleotide unclassified non-coding RNA is filed under the name Hevea brasiliensis (rubber tree). The record is from RNAcentral. Lineage: Eukaryota; Viridiplantae; Streptophyta; Magnoliopsida; Malpighiales; Euphorbiaceae.
GUGGUCUGCAGAUGAGAGUGGUGUUUUCCCGCGGCCUCAUACUUGUAUGGAUGUUUUUGCUUCCUCUCCUUCCUUGAUGACCUUUUCUCCUCGGAGCUUUGAGGGUUACAAGAAAGACGCAAAGGUGGUGGUUAAUGUAACAGUUGAAGGGAGUCCAGGACCAGUGAGGACCAUGGUUAAAUUGGGAUCUAGUGUGGAGGACACAAUAAAGCUUGUUGUAGACAAGUACGCUGAAGAAGGACGGACCCCUAAGCUUGAUAAGGAUGCAGCAUCCUCAUGUGAAUUGCAUCACUCCUACUUCAGCCUUCAAAGUUUAGAUAAAUCAGAGCUGAUCGGGGAUAUUGGUAAUAGAAGCUUCUAUCUCAGAAGAAACAGCAGCAACCGUAGUAGUAAUGGGC